RNAcentral lists this unclassified non-coding RNA (279 nucleotides) under plant metagenome. RNAcentral describes it as "partial contains small subunit ribosomal RNA, internal transcribed spacer 1, and 5.8S ribosomal RNA". The record is from RNAcentral.
UCUCCGUAGGUGAACCUGCGGAAGGAUCAUUAUUGUAUAACCGACGUGCGAAGGCUUUCGCUCACCCGACAGGUCGUGCACGCCCAACUGCCCGCACACACAUACAUCUCACCCCUCUGUGCACCACCGCUUGGAUCCCCCUUCUACUUGUUCGGUGGGAGUCUUACGAUUUCACACACACUUUUUAUACAGUGUGAAAUCUAGUUUUUGUUUUUGCUAUCACGCGAUCCAUACAACUUUCAACAACGUAUCUCUUGCCUCUCUCAUCGAUUAAGAACC